AAAUUACAGACCAACGAUUUAACCAGACUAACUUUUACCCCCAGCCGCUGUAAUAAGUAUGUCACCACCUUAUCCGGAUUAAUAGGGCAAAAACAACGCCCACGCGAUCAUUUAUCUUUUAUUAAAAUACAGGGCUCAACUCAAUAUUGCGUGGGAAACUGAUAACUAGAGUCAACAAAAGGUAAGCGGAACUACAAGUGAACAGGUGAAAUUCGUAGAUAUUUGUAGGAACCCCGAUGGGGAGGGCAGCUUACUGGAGAGACACUGACGCUCAAGCGCGAAAGCGUGGGUACCAAACAGG
RNAcentral lists this ribosomal RNA (301 nucleotides) under uncultured Corynebacterium sp. Its description in RNAcentral is "bacterial SSU rRNA". It matches the Rfam family "Bacterial small subunit ribosomal RNA", at positions 465 to 776 of the family's 1533-position model. The record is from RNAcentral. Lineage: Bacteria; Bacillati; Actinomycetota; Actinomycetes; Mycobacteriales; Corynebacteriaceae.